Piliocolobus tephrosceles (Ugandan red Colobus) is the source of this 1158-nucleotide long non-coding RNA. The record is from Ensembl. Lineage: Eukaryota; Metazoa; Chordata; Mammalia; Primates; Cercopithecidae.
AAAAUUAUAAAAAAAAAAAAAAAAAAAAGAUAAUAAACAAAGUGAUGGCUUGACCGUUGAAACACAGAAAAAUCUAAAUCUAAGUGUAUAUAAUAUUGUAUAUAUAUUUAUAUCAUGUAUUUUGUGGAAUAAACUAACACGUUUCUUACUUUGAAAACAAAAUUUAAAAAAUCAAAAGACAUUUAUACGUUUCCUUUCUUUUUACUUAACAACUUUUUACUUAACAACUUUUUACUUAAUAACUUUUUACUUAAUAACAUUGUUAAAUUUUUUUUUUUUUUUUUUUCGUUUUUCACAGGUUUGGAUAGUUAUAAACUAUUUUAACAUUACUUUGAAUGUGUGCUAUAUUUUUGAUUAUAAAUAUAUUUUUUUGGUUUCACUAGUUACAUAAGAUAUCUAACAUAUGCAUUUAGUACAUAAAAAGAAAAAAAGUUGUAUGUUCUGUCCAAUUAGUCUGUCUUCCUGCCUGCCUGCAUAUUUGCGUUUGUUUUUUUUUCACUUAUAUAUAUACAUCAACUUUAAAAAAAACUAUACUAUUUGUGUAAAGAGUUUAUUUUAUUUUUUUUUUGAGGAGACCUAUUUUUUUAAAAAAUGAAAGAUGUUCGAAAAGAGAUAAAUCAUAUAAAAGAAUUUAUUGACACAUUUUGUUUUGCAAAAAAUGUAAAGAUAGUUACUGAUGAAUCAGUUCUAAAAAAAAUUAACAAAACAUCUAAAGAAAAUAACACAAGUGUAGUUAAUUUGUAUUCUUCGUAUGCUUUAUGGCUGUGUAUGAAUGAAAUAUAUCCAGCAUGGUUUGAUCUUUCGAUUCAUCCUGCUCAGUUUGAUUUUGAAGCGGACGCCACCGAGUGUUUAAUCAAGUAUUUGAAUGAGUACCAUGAAAAAAAAUAUGAUAAAAUAAUAAAUAACGCGUUAAUAAAUAUUAACACCCUAACAGUAAGCCAUUUUAUUGAUAUAUACAAUUUAGUCAUACUAGCAGCUUUAGUAUCGGAUGAUAAACAAAGACAUAUAACUAAUAUUUUAUCACUUAAACAUGAAACACAAAAAUAUAUACACAAAAUUAUAGAAUAUUUAGAAAAAGAGAAAAAUCUAAAUCAGGAUAAUAAAUUAUUAACACAUAAUAAUUCUGAAAUUAGUAAGACAAAAAAAAAUUGCACAUAA